GACGAACGCUGGCGGCGUGCCUAAUACAUGCAAGUCGAACGCAGUUGCGAACGGGUUAGUAACGCGUCGGUAACUGCCUAUUAGAGGGGGAUAACUAUUGGAAACGAUAGCUAAUACCGCAUACUAGUAGAUGGACCUGCGUUGUAUUAGCUAGUAGGUAGGGUAAUGGCCUACCUAGGCGACGAUACAUAGCCGAAAGGAGAGGGUGAGCGGCCGGACUGGGACGGCGACCGGGCACAGAGGCCUACGGGUGGCAGCAGUAGGGAAUCUGGGGGAAGGGGGGGAACACUGACCGAGCAACGCGGCGUGAGUGAGGAAGGUUGUCGGAUGGUAAAGCUCUGUUGUUAAGGAAGCGGUAGUUAAACAGAAAGGGACGGCUAACUACGUGCCAGCAGCCGCGGUAAUAC
Molecule: ribosomal RNA, 407 nt
Filed under: uncultured bacterium
Lineage: Bacteria
Description: partial 16S ribosomal RNA
Rfam family: Bacterial small subunit ribosomal RNA
Source: RNAcentral